UUACAUUUCUUUAUAUAUACCCUAUUAAAAAAAGUCUUGGCCAAAAGGAGGACUUCAAAAAACAACUUUUUUUAUUGUUGUCGAUUCGUCCAGUCUGCUGCUAAGGUAAUUGACAAAUGAUUCCCAAAAUUUACAUUUAGCCAAAAAUAAAAACAACUUGUUUUCGACCUUAACAGCUCAAGGUAUAGUAACAUUAAUUUGUCGUUGCAUCUAUGAUGUUGCCAAGCUGAGUAAUUGUAUUCUUUCAACGUUAGGAUUGUCGGAUGUUGCCGUCUUCUAUUCUGUGGUUGUUCAACAAUUUCAGUUUUGAAGAUCAAGUUUCUUUAUGCAGUAGGUGGGAAUUGUUGACCGUUGUAAAACAAAUAUAUUCAGUUCAAGAAAGUUUUCUUCUUCGUAUGAUAUCGAGACACUGCUGGAGAUCCUUCUUCAAGUCCACAAUUGUGUAUCAAUAAUGUGCAGGAACCCUAGAACCGUUUCAAAACAUAAAAAAUCGCAAGACUGAGGAUCAAGAUUUGUAGAUCUGAAAACAGUAAAGAGAAACACAAGCGAUUUUUGACCGAAGCCCCGAUGUUCAGUGAUUUGUCAAAAUCGCCUAAUUCCCGUUGAGCAUCCACGAAGGAAUAAGCUCGAAUCCACUUGAACAAAACACACCGGCCAAAUUAUAGCAGUUUUCGAAUCACAGAAGGAACAUACAGUUCUAGCCAUCACGACAACAAUCUCCUCAACAAUACAAAGGACUCACACAAGAGUUCAUAGCAUCACGUCUACGCUCAACCAACAAAAAAGAAUCAACAAGAUUCAAGAUGAGAGAGCCAAAAAUACAGAGAGAGUUUUCAACUCAAAACGAAAAGAAAACGAAAGCUGCGUAAAAUGAG
This 875-nucleotide long non-coding RNA is filed under the name Olea europaea (common olive). RNAcentral describes it as "long non-coding RNA (OEUR_LNC002499)". Lineage: Eukaryota; Viridiplantae; Streptophyta; Magnoliopsida; Lamiales; Oleaceae. The record is from RNAcentral.